This is a long non-coding RNA of Microtus ochrogaster (prairie vole), 764 nucleotides long. RefSeq lists it as uncharacterized. NCBI's taxonomy places the organism in Eukaryota, Metazoa, Chordata, Mammalia, Rodentia, Cricetidae. The record is from RefSeq and is a predicted model, not a curated record.
AGAGAGGGGGCUCCGCCCCCCGCUCUCCAGACAGUGGUUUCGUCCCGAUUAGCCACGCCCCGGGGCGGGGCUUCCAGCUUUCGCCAGGACUUCACCCUCUCGGAACUCUAGAGCUGGGGCUGGGCUCCGGGUGCUGAGAGACGCCUGCGGGUGGGACCCCACUGACUCGGGAGAGGUCGGCUCCGAGGCGUCGUUCCUAAGCCCACCAAAGGGACCCAGAGUCUCAGAGCAUGACGUCAGAUCCAGUUUGCCCUCCGGGGAAGGCUGGCCCCAAGAAAAGCUAGUGCUUUGCUGAAUAAAAGUGGUAAAUGUUUUCUGGGUCUUCGAGUAUGCUGUUAGCAAUCGGACUUUCAGACACGGCCUGCUGCCCAGGGAGCUUCUGUUUGCUCAACAUCCAUCAUGAAAAGGGUCUCAUGCAACCCAGGCUGGCCCUGAAAUGUCCUGCACAACAGGACUAUUAUGUUACUAGACUACAAAGCAAGCAAUCCAUCAAUCACACGAACAAGGAAGAUAGAAGAAAAAACCCCAAACAAAGAAACAAAAAAGAAAAGAAAGAAAGAAAGAAAGAAAGACAGAGAAGAGUACCAAGGCUUUACUUACACUCUAAUCCUCUAAAUGUACAGAUCAAGCUUGGACCGAGAUAAAGAGAAGCAGCAGAGCAACAAACAGCAAGAGCCCAGCGCAGCGGGGGAACGUGUUUUCUGAAGUAACACGCCAGAGAAUUCAGUGAAGAAGUUCUGCAGUCCUUUAAGUGGUUACUCUUA